Molecule: ribosomal RNA, 376 nt
Filed under: uncultured eukaryote
Lineage: Eukaryota
Description: partial 18S ribosomal RNA
Rfam family: Eukaryotic small subunit ribosomal RNA
Source: RNAcentral
CAAUAGCGUAUAUUAAAGUUGUUGCAGUUAAAAAGCUCGUAGUUGAAUUUUGGAUUUGUUUGCAGGGUCUCUUCGAAAGAGGAGCACUUUGUGAAUGGGUCUUGUUUGUAGUGAACCCAUGUGUCAUUUACUUGGUGUGCGGUGGAACUACAGGUUUACUUUGAAAAAAUUAGAGUGUUUAUGGCAAGCAUCGCUUGAAUACAUUAGCAUGGAAUAAUAGAAUAGGACUUUGGUUCUAUUUUGUUGGUUUCUAGGACCAAGGUAAUGAUUAAUAGGGAUAGUUGGGGGCAUUAGUAUUUCAUUGUCAGAGGUGAAAUUCUUGGAUUUAUGAAAGACUAACUUGUGCGAAAGCAUCUGUCCAGAAUGUUUUCAUUAA